RNAcentral lists this ribosomal RNA (440 nucleotides) under uncultured bacterium. RNAcentral describes it as "bacterial SSU rRNA". It matches the Rfam family "Bacterial small subunit ribosomal RNA", at positions 338 to 771 of the family's 1533-position model. The record is from RNAcentral.
CCUACGGGAGGCAGCAGUGGGGAAUAUUGGACAAUGGGCGCAAGCCUGAUCCAGCAAUGCCGCGUGUGUGAAGAAGGCCUUCGGGUUGUAAAGCACUUUAAGCAGGGAAGAAAACCCUUUGCCUAAUACGCAGAGGUUUGACGGUACCUGAAGAAUAAGCACCGGCUAACUCUGUGCCAGCAGCCGCGGUAAUACAGAGGGUGCAAGCGUUAAUCGGAUUUACUGGGCGUAAAGCGUGUGUAGGUGGCUGAACAAGUCGGUUGUGAAAUCCCUGGGCUUAACCUGGGAACUGCUUCCGAGACUGUUCGGCUAGAGUACGGUAGAGGGCGGUGGAAUUUCCGGUGUAGCGGUGAAAUGCGUAGAUAUCGGAAGGAACACCAAUGGCGAAGGCAGCCGCCUGGGCCUGUACUGACACUGAGACACGAAAGCGUGGGGAUCAA